AAUAGAUACCCUGGUAGUCCAUGCCGUAAACGAUGUCUACUAGCCGUUGGGGCCCUUGAGGCUUUAGUGGCGCAGCUAACGCGAUAAGUAGACCGCCUGGGGAGUACGGUCGCAAGACUAAAACUCAAAUGAAUUGACGGGGGCCCGCACAAGCGGUGGAGCAUGUGGUUUAAUUCGAUGCAACGCGAAGAACCUUACCUGGCCUUGACAUACAGAGAACUUUCCAGAGAUGGAUUGGUGCCUUCGGGAACUCUGAUACAGGUGCUGCAUGGCUGUCGUCAGCUCGUGUCGUGAGAUGUUGGGUUAAGUCCCGCAACGAGCGCAACCCUUUUCCUUAUUUGCCAGCACUUCGGGUGGGAACUUUAAGGAUACUGCCAGUGACAAACUGGAGGAAGCGGGGACGACGUCAAGUCAUCAUGGCCCUUACGGCCAGGGCUACACACGUGCUACAAUGGUCGGUACAAAGGGUUGCUACUGCGCGAGCAGAUGCUAAUCUCAAAAAGCCGAUCGUAGUCCGGAUCGC
This 523-nucleotide ribosomal RNA is filed under the name uncultured bacterium. RNAcentral's name for it is "bacterial SSU rRNA". It matches the Rfam family "Bacterial small subunit ribosomal RNA", at positions 777 to 1301 of the family's 1533-position model. The record is from RNAcentral.